This 679-nucleotide ribosomal RNA is filed under the name uncultured bacterium. RNAcentral's name for it is "bacterial SSU rRNA". It matches the Rfam family "Bacterial small subunit ribosomal RNA", at positions 77 to 733 of the family's 1533-position model. The record is from RNAcentral.
CGGCGGCGGGCGGAAAUCGGGGGCGCAGGGUGAGUAACGCGUGGGUAACCUGCCCUUGAAUCUGGGAUAACUCCGUGAAAACGGGACUAAUACCGGAUAUUAUCCCUUUGGCUGUGGCCCUAGGGAUGAAAGGUGACCUCUCCAUGGAAGUUGCCGUUUGAGGAGGGGCCCGCGUACCAUUAGCUUGUUGGUGGGGUAAUGGCCUACCAAGGCGACGAUGGUUAGCUGGUCUGAGAGGAUGAUCAGCCACACUGGAACUGAAACACGGUCCAGACUCCUACGGGAGGCAGCAGUGAGGAAUUUUGCGCAAUGGGGGAAACCCUGACGCAGCAACGCCGCGUGAGUGAAGAAGGCCCUCGGGUCGUAAAGCUCUGUCAAGUGGGAAAAAAUGCUUUCGGUUAAUACCCGGGAGUCUUGAUGGUACCACUGGAGGAAGCACCGGCUAACUCCGUGCCAGCAGCCGCGGUAAUACGGAGGGUGCAAGCGUUGUUCGGAAUUACUGGGCGUAAAGAGCGUGUAGGCGGCUUGGUAAGUCAGAUGUGAAAGCCCUGGGCUCAACCCAGGAAGUGCAUUUGAAACUGCCAUGCUUGAGUAUGGGAGAGGAGAGUGGAAUUCCCAGUGUAGAGGUGAAAUUCGUAGAUAUUGGGAGGAACGCCCGUGGCGAAGGCGACUCUCUGGA